This 442-nucleotide ribosomal RNA is filed under the name uncultured bacterium. RNAcentral's name for it is "partial 16S ribosomal RNA". It matches the Rfam family "Bacterial small subunit ribosomal RNA", at positions 338 to 795 of the family's 1533-position model. The record is from RNAcentral.
CCUACGGGAGACAGCAGUGGGGAAUAUUGGGCAAUGGGCGCAAGCCUGACCCAGCAACGCCGCGUGAAGGAAGAAGGCUUUCGGGUUGUAAACUUCUUUUGUCAGGGACGAAGCAAGUGACGGUACCUGACGAAUAAGCCACGGCUAACUACGUGCCAGCAGCCGCGGUAAUACGGAGGAUGCGAGCGUUAUCCGGAUUUAUUGGGUUUAAAGGGUGCGCAGGCGGCGUGUCAAGUCAGCGGUAAAAUGUCGGGGCUCAACCCCGGCCGGCCGUUGAAACUGGCGUGCUCGAGUUGGAGAGAAGUAUGCGGAAUUCGUGGUGUAGCGGUGAAAUGCAUAGAUAUCACGAAGAACCCCGAUUGCGAAGGCAGCAUACCGGCUCCACACUGACGCUGAGGCACGAAAGCGUGGGUAUCGAACAGGAUUAGAUACCCGUGUAGUC